This is an RNA transcript of Ostrea edulis (European flat oyster), 7693 nucleotides long. It is a transcript of the gene named type-1 angiotensin II receptor A-like, with no coding region annotated. The record is from RefSeq and is a predicted model, not a curated record. Lineage: Eukaryota; Metazoa; Mollusca; Bivalvia; Ostreida; Ostreidae. The transcript has 4 exons.
AGUAUGUGAUAGUGCUAGAGCUCUGGGAUUGUACACAAGGACAUGUGUUAGGGAGCUGUGUAGUACCUCUCGCUUCCGUAGCCCAUCCCAAUUCUAAUUAAUUUAUAACAGACACAAUAAUUGUUACAAUAAAUGGUGGAAAAGGCUUGUUGUAACAUCAACAUGUUACAACAAACUGUUGAUAUAAUAGUCAUGUAGGAGAUUUGAUUGACAAUUUUUCUGGAUGUUUAUAAUGAGAUGUGGUCCAAAUGUGAAGCAAUUCCAAACUUAAUUUACAUUAGCGGUCUUACGAAUAAAUAAUAGUACUGUUCUGUCUCUCUGUAGCAGUAACACGUGCGCAGACAACAACAAAAAUUACAAACGUCGUUAUUCAGAGUAACACGAAGGGCACACUAAGUACUAUGGACAUAUAAUGCUUUAAAACGUUUUCCUAGAUUAGCUUCUUCAUGAUGAGAUCCACGAAAAUCAAAUGAAAGGUAGUCAGUUCAGCGUUGGGAUGUGGAAUCACGGAAAUCAUUAGGACAAAACAUCUUGGCACCAUCACAGUACCAAAGACGAUGUAGUCCACGAUUUCUUCUCCUAAGUUACUUCCCAUUGGAGAUCCGGGUUAGAAUAUAUUCUCAGUACCCCUUCCUUGUCGUAAGAGACGGCUAAAUGGGGCGGUCCUUCGAAAGAGACCGCAAAAACCGAGGCCCCGUGUCACAGCAGGAGUGGCACGAUUAAGAUCCCUCCCUGCCCAACGGUCGUAAGCGCCGAGCAUAUGCCUGAAUAUUUUCCAGUCCUUCACCGGCAAUGGUGACUUAUCCAUAUGAGUGAAAAAUUCUCGAGAGGGGCGUUAAACCAAGCAACCAAAACCUCCAAGUGACAGGAAAAUGACCUGUGUGAGAUUAAACAGUAAACUACAGAAGAGAAAGGCGGUGUUCUGAAAACUAACGGCGACUGCAGUCAUCGAAUAUAACGUCACAAACCAUGGUGAGGAAUUUGAAGGAAAUGUUAAUAUGAAAUUAAAAGAUUUUCUGUGGAAUAACCUGAUAAUGAAUACAACAUGGAAUGCCUCUGAUAACGAUGCGAACCCCGAUGUAACUCUAGAUAAAUCAAGGCAGGCGUUAAAGCUCUUUAUAUGGAAAUAUUACGAUUCUUCGUCUCUGCAAGGAUUGGCUGUGUUUAUUUUACUCAUUGGGACGAUCGGACUGAUUGGAAAUGCCAUUACAGUCGUCAAAAUUUUGUUCGACAAGAAAUUCCAUAAACCGACAUAUGCUGCCAUAGGAUGUCUAGCUGUCCCUGAUUUCUGUAUGAUCAUAGUCAGUUAUCUCGCUGGCUUCACAAAUAUUGACUCGUAUUUGCGCUUUAACUUCCCAUGUGAACAAUAUUUGAUUUCCAUGUGCGAUUUAUUUGAUGGUGUGUUUUAUUUAGCUUACUUUAGUUCCCUUGGUCAUGUUAUCUGUUUAUUCACCGUCCGAUAUUUAUUAACUGUACACCCCUUACAGAGUAGGAAACACGUGACAGCUUCGGUCGUCACCGGAAGUUCAGGAAUGAUGUGGUGUAUUAGUUUCGUAUUGUCCAUUACGGCAGUGUCAAUAAUUAAAUUAAAUGUACAUCUUACAACAGAUGAAUCCUACUUUGCCAUGGCUAUUCUGAGAGCUGUUGUAGGAUUCAUUCCAGUGUGCAUCAUAGUUACUCUGCAUUGUCUAAAAUUGAAAACACUCAGGAAUUCAUCUGUGCGCACCGGUAUUCGGAACCGAAUGAAUCUUGUCAUUGCAGUGAUUCUAUUAGUUUUUACUUCCUAUCAAAUCUUUGUUAUAUUCUUUCCCAUUUUAUGGGUACUUGACAUGACUUUUAACCUGGAAAAGUCCGCAGAAAAUACAUUUUACACAGUUAUGGAACUUUUUGGAUUUCUGCAUUUUUCAUGCAAUCCUUAUAUUUACUUUUUUAUUUCGUUUUGUUCAAAAUAAGUUGCAGAUACGUUUAUUUUUUUUUAGAAAUUAAUAGAAUUAAUAAAAAAAAAAAGCCUGAAAAACUUAUAUAGCGAUUUAUAUCACUUAAUGUCAAAACAAAAAGGUAAUAGUAUAAAUCAUUACCACAUUUCCAUUUUCUGUUCAAAGUAAUUAAAGUUGCAGGUACGUGUAUAUACAUGUAUAUCAAAGAAAAAGAAAGAUACAUUGAGAGAGAGGGGAGACAAAAAUAACGAUUUAUAUCACUAAAUAUCGAAAAAAUAAUUAAUAGGGGCCAGGAUUUUGUCAGUUUCGUUUUGAAUAUUAUGCUUUUGUUGACAUGCUUUAUCAAAAUGGAGAAAUAUUGACAAUUAUUGUGCGUAAUUAAUGAGGGCCUAAUAUUCCCCUCAGAUCCAGGAAAGUUAAUUCUGUAGUAUGGCUGAACUAUUAUAUACGUAGGAUAAUGUAAUAAAAAUGUCAUAAAGCUGAACUUUAAGUAUCGAAACUUAUACCCAUAUUACGUUAUCAAAUUCAUAAUCAAACCAAUAUUUCAUUUUCAAAAGAAACUUUUGAAAUCCAUGUUCAAUUAUGUGAGUUUUAUGAUUUGAUUUGAAUACAUUUUAUUGCAUAUAUACUAUUCAACAGGUGUGCCUUCAAACAACUCUCGAUGUUUUCAACUCAGACUAGUAUUUGAUAACAAUUGUCAUAAAGCAUGUAUACCCUAUUUAUAUAGGUUUGCCAGUACAACCUAUCAUUGGGUCAAAUGCUGUCCGACGUGUUUCAUAUCGAUUGCUAGACCGUUCUUGGUACACUGAGUUUGACUACGGAUAACUCCGUUUACCAGGCUUGAAUUUCUCGAAAAAAUCUCAAACUUAAGUUUGAAUUUUCUUCUAUUUGAUCAGUCAAAAUUUGAGUAAAAUCUCUGACUUAAGUCCAAGUUUCGACUUAAGUUCUUUUUGAGAAAUCCAGGCCUGAUCAAGAUAUAGGGCUCACGGCGGGUGUAACCGGAUGCCAGGGGAUGUUUACUCCUCCUAGAACCCUGCUCCCACCUCUGGUUUGUCCUGGGGUCCGUGUUUGUCCAACUCUCUAUUUUGUAUUGCUUGUAGGAGUUAUGAGAUUGAUGACUUGUUCGUUAUCUUCACCUUUCACAUGUACAUAUAGCGUAAAUAUAUUACUAUUACAAAAAUCUACUUAAGGAGGUACAGUCCCUGAAACGUUCUUCUUGGUGAGCGAAUGGUGAACGCACGGUGAACGAAUGCAGAGCGAACGGUGAACGAACGAAGCGCGAACGGUGAACGGUGAGCGAACGCAGAGCGCAAAGUGAACGAUGAACGAACGCUGAGCGCACGCUGAACGCAAAAUGAUCUAUUUACUCGGAAUGUUUCGAAUUUUUCCUUGGGAUUUUACUUAUUUCAUAAUCAAGUAAUAAAAUGCAUGUACAUGUAUAUUUCAUCAAUUAAUAAAAACAUAGAUAAACCGGAAUCGUGAUACAGCAUAUUUUACAGUUCUGGAUAUAUUCAAUGUAAUAUAUUUUUGUACAAGUACCGAGUAUACAUGUAUAUAUUUCACGAAAUUAUCGCAAAUUGUACAUGAAUACUCGCAACAGUCAUACACAAACAAAUUUAAAGCAAAUUUCGUAUGUACAUUGUGUAUAACAUUACAUGUACAUAUACAUUUAAUGCAUGGUAUAUAAACAAUGCAUAUGAAAAGGAAAACACUAUAGUCUACAUGUGUAGUGACAUCCAGAAUUAACAGGUGUUCAUGUAGGGCUUCAAACUUUACGAGCUCGAUCGUUUGGGAUACCUGUAAUUAACAAACACCCCCGAAAGGAGUCAAGAUAGAUGCAGUAAACAAACAAUACGGACGGUAUAACCCGUGUCAACACCUCAACAGUAUUAAAUACUCCUACUUACAUUUUGUGUCAUUCAUCUGUCGCAGCUACAUCGACCCGAGGAAAUAAUCAGUACAAAACUUUCUAGUUUUAUUAUUGAUGUGACCAUAGAUUGCAGUUAGAACGUGCAAUAUUUGUAUGUAUUUGAUGUAGAUUAAACUGUUUAUUAUACUGAACUAUCUGUAGAAUGUUUAAAGGCUAAUGCAGAAUCGUACCAGAUAAACAAUCACAUCUUUGCAUUAAGGACAAAUGUUACAAGUUUCAAAUUUGGCAAGAGCCUGACUCACUAGUAAAUAUCAAUUUAUUGACAAUAAAUAUAGGCGUAAAAAUAGCUAUAUCAGUUUGAUAUUCUGACACGUACAUUCGGUACAAUGUACAUUAUGUACAGUACACGACACGAGUUUUAUACACCCCACCGUGGAAUGACCACGGUGGAAAAUCCACGGAGAUACACCGUGUCCUCCGUGUUCCAUGGUGUGUGUUAUUUGCGAAUACACACAGCUGCUAAGAGCUUUGUUCUGGCCACGGGCGCCUUGCGGGAGAUGGGAAAAUGUGCCGCAGGCCAAAUAAUCAAGAUAAGGAUGGAAUUUUAAUAAAAGAAAAAAAUGUCAAUAUUUUCCCUCCUGAUACUGAUAUUGUUUUUCAGCAUUUUGAGCCAAUUCCAACGAUACCAAACACUAUAUAUUAUGUUUUUAAGAAAACCUGGUUUUGAAAUUUUUUUCUUUAAUAGUCUUCUUUCUUCAUUAAAAUAUUCUUAAAUUCUAUGUUUAAAUAAUGCGUACUUGCAAGCAAUUCCUGUUUUGAAUGCGAAUUAGUAUAUUCAGUAAAUGAAAAACAUACAUGUACAACAUGUGAUAGGGAUGUUUAAUAAUUACCGAUGUGCUCUCUCUCUCUCUCUCUCUCUCUCUCUCUCUCUCUCUCUGACAAAUGCGCUGUUUAACAUAAUUACUUCCAUCAUAUUGUGCUAAUAUGCAUCUUGACAAAUAUAACUUGAUCCAAUAUAGAAAUUAGCAUUGUCGAUUAUUAACAAUUUGGAAUUAAUUUAUUACGUAAUUAAUAGAAGCAAAAAUACAAACCAUCGAAUGAUUUAUUUUUAAAAUCCCGAGUUAAUUACAUUUGACCGAGACUUGUAUUCGAUGUACUUUGGUAGAGAUUUUCAUAACAAAAAAUGUUCAUCGGGAGUGUCUGGAUAAUGCAAUGAUUUUUGUAUAAUAAGUAUAUACCAUGCAAAUUCCUAGGAUCUUUGUCACAGUAUAACUAAAUUACGGUUAGCUAGUUUGGAUUUUGACUUCGUAAGAAAAGUGUGAAAUAUAUUCGGUCGGAGCGAUAUCAGAUCUAGUCUAAGAUCACGGGUAUUUUGCGCCGACCCAAUAUAUUUCACUCUUUCCGCAAGAAGCCAAACACUUCUGUUGAUUUCAAAUACACGGAUUAGCUGACCCCCAUUGUUCUACUGAGGCGAAAACCCCUUCGAAUUUGCAUGGAAUGUACAAGUUAUACACAGGUCAUUGUUAUAGUCAUACAUCAUAGUACCGCUAACCCGACAAACAUUUUUUUUUUUAAUUUUGAAUAAGUUAUUGAAUGGCGAAGUAUGACCAAACUGCAGAUUGAACUUUAUAGAGCCCCGCGCUAACAUUACUUAUAUUUUUCAAUGUAUCAGAAGGGGUAUGUUGCCGGUUAAGUUGUGUAAAUUUCUUGACAAGCAAUAAAAUAACAACAAAAAUGGUGCGUAAAUAACCUUAAAUUGGGAGCGUGUGUGUGUGUAGGGGGGGGGUUAGUAAUCUGAAACUGUCUCAAUUCCCCCUUCCGACUUCAAUUUCUUAAAUCGUGCAGUGGGUAGGUCGCUACAAGCUACAAGGCUACAUCCUUAACUUUCAAGUUUUCAAAUUACACCCUCUCCGAUUCUACGUGCCUGUAAUCAAUAUUUAAGGAUGUAAAUCCUCGGUGUCAAAUGCAACUAGUUCAUGAAAAAAAGACUAAUAUCAAUAUAAACAGAAAUGACGUAACGAUUAUUUGCUUUUAUUCAUAUACGCUAUCAAUUAUUAAAAUCUUUAAUUUAAUCUUUAGAUGCAUUAGAUAAUGAAAUUUUAAUAAUCGAGAGCGUAUAUGAAUAAAAGCAAAUAAUCGUUAAGUCAUUUCUGUUUAAAUAUUGAUAUUAGUCUUUUUUUCAUGAACUAGUUUAAUUUAAUCUUUAGAUGCAUUAGAUAAUGAAAGCAAGAUUAUCAAUCAUUGAUUAUAAUGUUCAUGAAUGUAUGCAGAUACGGGAAGUUUGAUACGCUCAAUAUAAAUCUUGAAAGUACAAUUUCUUUCUGAUUAAUUAUCCAUCCCCUUUCAUUCUGAUAUUGUUUUUUAUUUCCCAUUUUGUUUUCUUUACAUGUUAAAUUUUUGGGCUGGUCCGGGUUAGGACUAAUGGAUGAGUCCCCCCUUCUAAAACGAUGUUACGUGCUUAGCUGUCUAUCUCCUUCUCAGUCAAAAAUAAAAUAAAAUAAAUACAUGCUAUAUGUACUGCAACAUCAUUGGAUUUACUGGAUAAUUCUUCGAUUUCACCUUCAUAAUACAUGUUAAUGCAAGCGGACUAUCUAGGCUUCUUUUUUUCCAUCUUCGCUAGCCGAGAUUAUUUGUCCACGAAGGCAAAGUUGACAGAAAACCCAUUGCUAGCGGAGAUGAGAUGAAUUUUACCCCCGUAUUAUGUUAUAAUUGACCAAAACCUAGUACGUUUGUUUUACAACUUUCAUUUAGAAGACGCGCAAGUUUGUGAGUCACUGAAUAGACGAGAAAACGUCUGCAUUUUUAUUUCAAUCGUUGUCAACUCUAUACUUUGUGAUAUUUCAAGACUACAUGUACUCAAUUCAAUUUGUUGGAUCUCAUCACCAUUAUGCAAUGGUAUACAAAAAUAUAAAGACAAAAAGAUGUUAUAUAUACAUUUAGUAAAUAAUACAUGCGUGUAAUAAAGUAUUUAUCAAGUUAGGAAAAAAAACUAACUUAAAAAAACGUGUUAUUAUUAAUGUGAAGUAUGGGCAUUCUAGGUAGGGGAGCACAUUUUAUUUUAUUAUUUUCUUAAUGAAAGUACGGAGUUUUCUAAAGGUUUGUUUAAAAGUAAAGAUAUUCUUAAUAUUUAUUUGUUUAGGUGAUAAAAAUUUGAUUCUUUGCUCACAUUGCAUCACAGUGGAGUACAUAAUGAAAUUCAUCUCCAAUGUAAACAUGUACAUGUAUAUAUCUGACCUUAAUCACAUAUUCCUAAUUACAAUGAAAACUUUACGUAAAAAUAAACCAUUGCUUAUGGUACACAUUUCUUUGAACUGCUAUUUAUCAAAUUGAAAUUACUGGCAUGUGAUUGUCGUUGUUCAUGACCCUUCUUUUAUUUGGUGAAAUUGUGCUGCACGUGCCGUGAAACAAUGUACCGACGAGUGGUAGGAAUAACACAGGUGUUAUUAUAUACAGGAUGUCGAGAAUUUGGGCGUUUCAUAAAAAGGUGUGAACGUCUGCAGGGAAGUCUACAUACGGAUAUGUACCGAAAACACCAACGUAUCAUUAAACGACAAUUACAAGAAUUGAAUGAUUGAUAGCUAAUUUCUAAAUAAGUAAUGGGGUGGGGGCAUGCAUGCUGGCUAAGUGAAAAGGUUUUUGGGGUGAAUCAUUUCGGAAAUUAUUUCUUUGUUUUAUCACACGGAGGUACACGGUGGCAUCGACGGAGGUACAGGUGACAUCCACGGAGAUACGCGGUGGCAUCCACGGAGAUCCUCCGUGGACUUCAAUGUCUAGCUCGCGCGGAAAAAUAGGACUUCAAAGGUGCCGACAAUUUUAAAGGUCCACCGUGUUUGGGGCAAAUUUGUUCCACCGCGUUGCGUGGAACACGCAUAAAACUCGUGUCGUG